CGCGGUAAUACGUAGGUGGCAAGCGUUGUCCGGGAUUUACUGGGCGUAAAGGAUGUGUAGGCGGAUACUUAAGUGAGAUGUGAAAGCCCCGGGCUUAACCUGGGGACUGCAUUUCAAACUGGGUAUCUAGAGUGCAGGAGAGGAGAGCGGAAUUCCUAGUGUAGCGGUGAAAUGCGUAGAGAUUAGGAAGAACAUCAGUGGCGAAGGCGGCUUUCUGGACUGUAACUGACGCUGAGGCAUGAAAGCGUGGGGAGCAAACAGGAUUAGAUACCCUGGUAGUCCACGCCGUAAACGAUGAGUACUAGGUGUAGGAGGUAUCGACUCCUUCUGUGCCGCAGUUAACACAAUAAGUACUCCGCCUGGGAAGUACGGUCGCAAGAUUAAAACUCAAAGGAAUUGACGGGGGCCCGCACAAGCAGCGGAGCAUGUGGUUUAAUUCGAAGCAACGCGAAGAACCUUACCUAGACUUGACAUCUCCUGAAUAGCGUAGAGAUACGUGAAGCCCUUCGGGGCAGGAAGACAGGUGGUGCAUGGUUGUCGUCAGCUCGUGUCGUGAGAUGUUGGGUUAAGUCCCGCAACGAGCGCAACCCUUAUCAUUAGUUGCUACCAUUAAGUUGAGCACUCUAGUGAGACUGCCCGGGUUAACCGGGAGGAAGGCGGGGAUGACGUCAAAUCAUCAUGCCCCUUAUGUCUAGGGCUACACACGUGCUACAAUGGUGAGAACAACGAGAUGCAAUACCGCGAGGUGGAGCCAAACUUGAAAACUCAUCCCAGUUCGGAUUGCAGGCUGAAAUUCGCCUACAUGAAGUUGGAGUUGCUAGUAAUCGCGAAUCAGAAUGUCGCGGUGAAUACGUUCCCGGGCCUUGUACACACCGCCCGUCACACCAUGAGAGCUGGUAACACCCGAAGU
RNAcentral lists this ribosomal RNA (910 nucleotides) under uncultured bacterium. RNAcentral describes it as "bacterial SSU rRNA". It matches the Rfam family "Bacterial small subunit ribosomal RNA", at positions 516 to 1427 of the family's 1533-position model. The record is from RNAcentral.